This 253-nucleotide ribosomal RNA is filed under the name uncultured bacterium. RNAcentral describes it as "partial 16S ribosomal RNA". It matches the Rfam family "Bacterial small subunit ribosomal RNA", at positions 524 to 776 of the family's 1533-position model. The record is from RNAcentral.
UACGUAGGGGGCUAGCGUUGUCCGGAUUUAUUGGGCGUAAAGAGCUCGUAGGCGGCCUGUUGCGUCCGCUGUGAAAGCCCGGGGCUUAACCCCGGGUCUGCAGUGGAUACGGGCAGGCUAGAGGUAGGUAGGGGAGAAUGGAAUUCCCGGUGUAGCGGUGAAAUGCGCAGAUAUCGGGAGGAACACCGGUGGCGAAGGCGGUUCUCUGGGCCUUACCUGACGCUGAGGAGCGAAAGCGUGGGGAGCGAACAGG